Molecule: long non-coding RNA, 1325 nt
Organism: Ictalurus punctatus (channel catfish)
Lineage: Eukaryota; Metazoa; Chordata; Actinopteri; Siluriformes; Ictaluridae
Source: Ensembl
GGGGGACGUUAAUGUAAAGUGUUUCCUUACAUGCACCUCAGAUGUUUGUACAGUACUGUAUGAAUUACAGAAGAAAAAGGGAAAGAAAAAAAACACACUAAUCCCAGUACUCACCAGUAAUGGCGCUGAUGGUUGUAUCCCAGUUUGUAGAUUACAAUACAAAGAUUCUUUGACCUUCAGCGAGGAAAUGGAGGAACUCGACUGGGGUCUGUGAGGGAGGAAAUCUAGUUAAACUUGAAUUCCAUCCCAGAUUGAGGUCAUAAUCACUAUUAGUACAGCACGUCAUUCGUUAAUAAUUUUUUUUUUUUUUUUAAACAGACAAACAAACAAUGUAAUUGUUUAGAGUUGAGGGAAGGGAACGGUGGCUCCGUCUCCGAUUAUUCCCUUACAACAGCACGACGCACAGCAUUUCAUCUCAUACACGUUUAUGUUAAGCACGCAGCGUACGGCUUAAAUAAAUCCCCCCAAAGUUACUUUCAUUUCAGGACAGAGUUAUAAUGAAUGACUUAACGAAAUGAAAUCUUUUGUAUCCUGCAACAAGACAACCGGCCACAACAAAGCACAUAGUCUCUAAUAUCCUCUCUCAGACUAUUUUUAUUUAUUUAUUUAAAAUAAAAUAAAAAAACCCUCACACACCGGAUGCUUCCUUCAGAUCACCGCGAGUACGCAAACUUUUGCACGCAGGUGUAACGCGUGUGUGUAGAUUUGUAGAUUAGUACAAUAACGCAGAAGUCGGUACGAACGUCAUUUCUGAAAACACUGUUUGCGUUAAACACGCGCGCGCACACACACACACACACGAGAUAUUUGACUGAUCUCUUUUUUUACCCCGACGCUGAAAAGCGACAUUGAGAAAUUCAGGUCGAGCGGAUGGGGUCUUGCUGCGGCGUCGCUUUGUUGCGAGGUCAGUGCUGAUAACGGGGAGAAAAUCUACUGUAUUGUUUUAGUGUUAUAUUUGUGUCGAUGGUGCAAGUGUAUAAUGUUAAUUUUUUUUUUUUACUAACAGAACUAAAACAUUUUCAAGAUCUCUGGGAGUAUUGCACUAUUCGACGUUAUUAUUUUUAAAUAUUAGUAGACAGUGUUGGCAGUGACGUGAGGUUUUUACAAAAAAUAAUAAUAAUAAUUCUCUUUUCCCUUUUGGUCCAAAUUUCAGACUUCCUUGUUUUUCUUUUCAGUGCUGUUUGAUAUUUGUUUCGAGUCCCCCUCCCCUCCCCUCUCCCCCCCUCUCCCCCUGCCAUCAGUGCUUCUUGACCGAAGUUUGAAACAAAAAUUUUUUAUUGUUAUUGCAGAGGAGGCCAAAUAAAAUAAAUAAUUUUAAAAAAGUG